GAUGAAGAACGCAGCGAAAUGCGAUAAGUAAUGUGAAUUGCAGAAUUCAGUGAAUCAUCGAAUCUUUGAACGCACAUUGCGCCCGCUAGUAUUCUGGCGGGCAUGCCUGUCCGAGCGUCAUUUCAACCCUCAAGCUCAGCUUGGUAUUGGGCCCCGCCGACCCGGCGGGCCCUAAAGUCAGUGGCGGUGCCGUCCGGCUCCGAGCGUAGUAAUUCUUCUCGCUCUGGAGGUCCGGUCGUGUGCUCGCCAGCAACCCCCAAUUUUUUUCAGGUUGACCUCGGAUCAGGUAGGGAUACCCGCUGAACUUAAGCAUAUCAAUAAGCGGAGGA
This 329-nucleotide unclassified non-coding RNA is filed under the name soil metagenome. Its description in RNAcentral is "partial contains 5.8S ribosomal RNA, internal transcribed spacer 2, and large subunit ribosomal RNA". The stretch from base 1 to 120 matches the Rfam family "5.8S ribosomal RNA", at positions 35 to 154 of the family's 154-position model. The record is from RNAcentral.